Long non-coding RNA from Corvus hawaiiensis (hawaiian crow), 2183 nucleotides. RefSeq lists it as uncharacterized. The transcript is spliced from 4 exons. The record is from RefSeq and is a predicted model, not a curated record. NCBI's taxonomy places the organism in Eukaryota, Metazoa, Chordata, Aves, Passeriformes, Corvidae.
GCUACAUGAAAAAUUACUCUAAUUAUGGCUGCAUUUAAGAGAAUGGAAAAAAACCUUCUUGUGGAUAAAAACCUUAAAUUGUCCCCAAUGUCUGCUUCAAAUUGGAUGGCACUGCAGCUGGAGGCUUUGUUCAGAAUUGAUCCUGGGGAGCUCUGAACCCAAAGUUUCACAGUGGGAAGGGGAAAAAAAGAAAAGAAAACAUUUUUCCUAAUGUAACAAUACGAAUGGUAGAAAAUGACAAGACUGAUCGGUUUUAAAGCACUCUGAAGACUGACUGAGCGUGGAAGUUGCUCAAAAAAAAAAAAAAACAAACCAAAAAACACCCCCCAAAACACUGGUAUAUUGCUGGGAAAUUGCAUCUCGGUGCUGGAAUUAUCCGAAAAUAUAGGCAAUUUUAAAACGUUAUGUGUGGCAUCAAAAAGGGAGCGCUCGCUCGCAGACGGCUGAGGGAAGGGCACUUUCAGCUCCUUCUGCGGUCGCCCGAUCUCUGUCGCGCAUUAGCCUGCACAACUGAAGAAGAUGAUGUACAGGCAAGAGAGUGCCAAAGAAAGGAAGAGCUACUGGAGUUCUUCAUGCAAAAUCCCUGCUGUGGAAAGAUUCUUCUGCUUGUGGUGUGCUGUGACUAACAGAGGAAAAGUGUGGCAAUGAAAGACCUGAAUCUCCUGCUGCCCAAACUGCUUUCCCACUCCAUCUUCAUGUCCAAACCCACUCCAAAUUGCUUUUGUAUUCCUUCUGUCCCAUACAUGAAGUCAGACUGAGAUUCGUUUGCAGAAUGGUUUGAGUAACCUCUGCUCUAAAGCAUAGACAGACCAAAACAAUAGUACAGCUAUUGAGAGACUUGCCUGUUCGUUGGUUAAGGGGUGCCAGGGAACAGUGUCUGGAAAAGGUCAGCUGAAAUGAGCAAUGUGACAGUGAGCCUCAGAAACCUGUUUGUGGAUAAGCCGCUAUAGCCAUAGCCAUAGAAUAAAGGCAACACCCUAUCAAAUCCUAAAGACUGUUCUUCUCACAAAUACCGACCUGCUGUACCAGGAGAGCACUGUCUGCUGAGACUGCUUGAGCUGCAAGAGGGCACUGAACUUUGGUGUACCUGUCCUAGAGGUCUCCCAAAGCUAACAAAAUGAACCUGUAGCUAACAAAAAUCACAUAAGCCUGUGUUAGUGACCAAAGUUAGGACUUGGGUUUCUGGGGUGAAGAAUGGCUGCUUUUUCUUGCUAAGAUCACUAACAGCUGAAGAAAUCCAACAGCCUUUUUUAAUGAGCCCCUUAGAGCUUGUAAAAUGGUAUUAGCUAUUAUCAUAGUUAAUAUUGCUUGAUGUGGAAAUAUAAACUCAGGAAAACAAGUACUAAAACAUUUGUGUAAAUGUAACUCCUGACAUUUAUGUUUAUUAAUUUGCUUUCGAGCAGUUUUCCAUAUUAAAAAGAGAUUGAUUACUCUGAAUGUGGAAAAUACCACGUUGUCACUAAUAUAUUUUAUUUAAUUACAAAAGCAAUAGAAAGAGGGUUUUAAUAUAAUUCUCCUCCACAAUUCAGUAUGCAAGAUUUUUUAAAAAUCUAACACACACUUGACAAGAAACAGAUAUGUUGAAAGACAUCAAUAAAUGUACUGAUUAAGAGUUUGAGACACUUACUUUAAAAAUGUGGAGCAAAGGCUGACUAUUCUAAUUACCUGAGACAUGUGACGUCAAUUGUCCUUAAUACUUUAAGAAUGACAGGUUACAAAUGAAUAGAUAUUAGGGCUUUCUGCUCUGUUGCUUGCUGAAGAAUCUGUUGAAGGACAAGUACUUGGAUAUGUCACCUUGUGUCUCAGGAGCCGAAGGGAGUAGAGAAGAAUGAAAGGAUGAUGGGAAAAGUGAGAUUAUCUCAGUGUUGCAUUCUUUCCUAAAUCCAAAGUGGGAACUGAUUCUCAAAGAGAAAACAAUGCUUUGUGGUUUUCAAUUAGAAAUACUUAAAGGUGUAUGCAGCUAAGCUCCAAGCAUUAUUUCCCCUCACAGCUCUGAGGAGUGCUAAGAAACUGCAUAGACUGUAUUUCCCAUAUAAAUAAAAAGAGGAAUUAAUUCUCUUUAGUGCUGGACAUGGGCUGCUGACCAAGUUGUUCGCUGCUUUCAAAGGCUCAAAACAAGAGCUACACUGCUAAUGAUGUUAAUAUGAACUCCUUGUUAAAUAAAGAUUAUGUCUUUUUUCUAA